CCCGAUUCACUAGGGCAAAUCAUUUCAGCCUCCCCCAAUCGCCUCCAUCUCUAUUCUCGUUCUCAACUCUGAACUGCAACCCCCACCCCCUGGCGCCCCUACUCUCUCUCUCUCUGCAACUGCAAACUACAAAAUCUACAAGAAUCAGAAGUUCAAAACCCAUAUAUUUCACUUUAUCUAUCUGUCUGUAAGAAUCAAAAGUUCAAAACCUAUUACCUAUUUCAAAACCCAUAUCGGCGUAUCAUUUCAGAUUGUUCAAAAAAUCAAAACCCAUAUCUUUCAGUUUCCAUCGCCCGCUGUUCCAGUUUGGGUUCGCCGUUCGCAAGCUUCAGCAGCUGCCUCUCAACUCUCAAGCUUGCCCCCUCCCUCUCUGCAACUGCUAACUUGGUUAGCAUCGGCCUUAACAUUUAGCAAGAAUAAGGUUCAAAAAACAUGCCUCCUCAGUCAUCAGGUCUCUUUUUUGAAAGAAGAGAGUUGAUGGGAAUGGGUGGAGUUGGCAAAAAGAAAAUACGUAUGUUUUUUUGCCUAGCUAAUUGAAUUAUAUAAAUCCCCUUACUGUAGCAGUGAUGUUGGUUUUAAAAUGACCAAUUAUGAUAGGAAGUCUCUUUUCAAUUUAUCUUAAUCAAAUGUAUAUUUAUGCAAAAGGAUUACAUGAUUCUAGAUGAUGAUUCUAGAUGAGAAUGUUAAUGUCAACGUUAUGAGGAUGUUGAUGUCAACGUUGGCUCUAGUGAUGACAACUGAUGAUGUUGAUAAUAUGUUGAUGCACUCAAAUUAAGUCACAACACUUAGAAUUGAAGGAAAUUUAGAGUUGCAGUCAUACUAUUGAGCAUAGUGUCUAAUUCUUUUAGUUACAAGAAUCUUUGGUCACUUCAUGCGAUUUUUCAGUUCUUGAAAUUCUGAAACAAUGGUGUGUAAUAUAAUUCAUUUACUUAGGCUCUCUUCUUUUUCAUCUCUUUAAACCCUAAUUUUAUCUGUGAAAAAGAAAAAAAAAAAAAAAAAAAAAAGACUACAAUUUUAAUUUAACUUUAUCAUUUUGCCUUGACAGAGCUUCUGAAAUGUUGAAGCUGAAAUAACAAAGAAGAGAGAGUCCACCAAUAAGAAUUACCCAACUUAGGCCAAAAUAAGCUCUUUGAGCGUCUUGACUAAUAUUGGCAUGGGAGACUUCUAUAGAUAUGGACUUGUAGAGGGAGAGAUAUAUGGUUGGGGGCACAAAAGUGUAUGACAACUGUGAACCAACGAUAGGGUUGUGAGCUUUUGGCUUGUUUCAUACAUUGGAUCUAGUACAACAAUGAAAUGGAAAGCUCUGCUGCACUUAAAGUUACAAACAAAAACAAUAAUUAAUAUUAUAUUUUAUAACUUUACUAAUCUAAUAUGAUACUACGUAUAUCUUACAUAUAUACAUACAUAUAUAUAUGUGUGUGUUUGUAACUUUAUACUUAGACUUGGAUAUAUUUUGAUUUAGCCCACCCCAUUGAGAAAUCCGGGAUCCGCCCUUGAAGUUCACUCAAAUGACCUUGUAAAAUUAUAAUUAUACAGCAAUAAGAAAAAUAUACUAGUGCCGUUUUAAGGUGUUAGCUGAAGACAAAUAUGAAAACCCACAUGAUAUCUAACAUCCGUCAUGUGUCAGUCAUUCCCUUGAGCAGCAAUCUCGGAUGUAAAACUAGUAAGUUGGAGGAGGUGGGCAGCCCACGUGGUGAUGGAGGCAAUGAUGAAAGCGGUGGUGGCGGUCGUCGUGGUGGACAUAAGGAUGUCGAGGGUGAGUAGGGGUGAUGAUCAACGGGAUGGUGAAUCGAUGAUUGAGGUCAUCACACAUGAAGUUAUGCCUAUGAUCCCGAAGAAAAGUAUUUGUGUAGAUGAAAAUGGUGGCAACGAGGAAGUAUUAAUUGAAUUUGAUGAAUUUUUUCCUGUCGAAAUUAUCCCGGUAAAGAAUUUUUUUCGAUGUCGACCAUGAGUGUAGGCAAGUGAAAGUGAUUCUUCUUCCACAGAGAUCAACUGUAAGCUCAUUAUCUCUGAAUUACCUUCAUUUGAUUAGUAAAAAAAAAAAAGAUGUUUGUUAUUGGAAUUGUCUCAUGCGCUGAAGGUGGGGGGUUCGGCUUCUAGGAGAAAGAAGAAGAAAUAGCAAGCCUAUAUAUGAUGUGUCAGUUGACCAAUAUCUGGUGGAGGUUGCGGAUUGUUGAAAUAGGUAUGUAUAUUUUAUAUUUUUAUAGAUUGCAUUGAAUACUUUUGAUACCUGUCAUCAUAAGUUUUAGAUGUAUUAUUUCAAAUGUGUGGCUUGAUUUCCAAAAGCAUAUUUUUUCCAUUCAAGCAUGUCAUAGGCAGAUAAGCCUACACCCCUGAGCUCUUGAGCAAGAUGCCUCUCACCUGUCUCGGGCAUUGGGUCUUCCCAUGGUCGAGAGGGGCUGAACUGGAGGUGGCAAGUGUGACCUUAAUUAUACAGGUUAGUUGUUUGAUUCACAUGUUAGGAAUGCAAUGAAGGUAAGGGAUGAUAUGGUAUCGAGGGUGUUCAAGCCUAAUUCAGUUUCUUUUAAUUCACUUAUUCAAGGUUUCUACAAGGCUAAUAAGAUGGAUCAAGCCCAGCAUCUUUUGGAAGAGAUGCUAUCGAUGGAGUUAAUAUAGUUUUCUAGAUAAUAGAGUCUGUCGCAUUGUCAAUAGAUGCAAUGGUUUCAUCAAGCACUAUUAUUUUCAAGUCUGAAAUGUUAAAUCAUUACUUGACUGAACAGGAAGUUCAGCUUAGGCGUAGUCUUAUGCCAGUUUGUUAAAUCAAGUCUGAAAUGUGUAAUAAGGAUGUCAGAAAUCCUUGAAUUCCUUAUCGGAGCUUUCUCUCGCUCUCAGACUCUACUUUCUAAUCGUACCAACCGUUUUGAGGCUAGCAGGAAGCCAUUUCCCUCGAGGACACCUCAUCAAGAUCAUGUGAAAUGAAAGAAUUCUUGCUCCCAAAUAAAUGUUAAUUUUUCUCUCUCUCUCUCUCUCUCUCUUAUAUGCUCCCUCUUACACAUUCUCUCUCCCCUUCCCCAUCUCACAAAUGGAUUAAAUCUAUUUUGCUGAUUUUUUAUUUGACAUUGAUUAGUUCAGAUGGAGUUUUCACUUACUUUGCAAAUCGUAGCUUCUAUCCCUCUCUCUUGUUUUCCUUCUCUUCUAUUUUCUCUUUAGCUUUCUUUUUCCCACUACAGACCCCCUUUCUUUAUACAGCCUAUUCUUUUUUCUUUUUCUUUUUUUCCUUUUCUGUUCUAAACAGAGCUCAAAUCCUUUUAUCAAGAAAACCCUAAUGCUCCCAACUUCUCCCUUUUUCUGAUUUUAUUCCCUCGCCCUCUCUCUCCCCCUUUCCUUCUCUUUUCUCCUCAAAGCACGCACUUAUCUUCUCUCUCUCUCUCUCUUUUUUUUUUUUCCUUAUAUGUUCCCACUAACAGAUUAUCUCUCCCUUCCCCCAUCUCACAAAUGGAUUAAAUCUAUUUUGCUGAUUUUGUUUAACUUUUGCAUUUUGACUUGCUGUAUUUGUUGUUGCAUUUGGUCCCUUAAAUAGAUUAUGAAUUUAUUUUUUUGGUCAAUGUCAUUGGCAUGCAUUUGGAAUAUUUAUUGUUGUAGUUUGUUAAUGACAUGUAAACUUUUUGUUUCACAUUCAAA
Molecule: long non-coding RNA, 3621 nt
Organism: Cornus florida
Lineage: Eukaryota; Viridiplantae; Streptophyta; Magnoliopsida; Cornales; Cornaceae
Exons: 6
Source: RefSeq, a predicted model, not a curated record